AGAGUUUGAUCAUGGCUCAGAUUGAACGCUGGCGGCAGGCCUAACACAUGCAAGUCGAGCGGUAGCACAGAGAGCUUGCUCUCGGGUGACGAGCGGCGGACGGGUGAGUAAUGUCUGGGAAACUGCCUGAUGGAGGGGGAUAACUACUGGAAACGGUAGCUAAUACCGCAUAACGUCGCAAGACCAAAGUGGGGGACCUUCGGGCCUCAUGCCAUCAGAUGUGCCCAGAUGGGAUUAGCUAGUAGGUGGGGUAACGGCUCACCUAGGCGACGAUCCCUAGCUGGUCUGAGAGGAUGACCAGCCACACUGGAACUGAGACACGGUCCAGACUCCUACGGGAGGCAGCAGUGGGGAAUAUUGCACAAUGGGCGCAAGCCUGAUGCAGCCAUGCCGCGUGUGUGAAGAAGGCCUUCGGGUUGUAAAGCACUUUCAGCGGGGAGGAAGGCGGUGAGGUUAAUAACCUCAUCGAUUGACGUUACCCGCAGAAGAAGCACCGGCUAACUCCGUGCCAGCAGCCGCGGUAAUACGGAGGGUGCAAGCGUUAAUCGGAAUUACUGGGCGUAAAGCGCACGCAGGCGGUCUGUCAAGUCGGAUGUGAAAUCCCCGGGCUCAACCUGGGAACUGCAUUCGAAACUGGCAGGCUAGAGUCUUGUAGAGGGGGGUAGAAUUCCAGGUGUAGCGGUGAAAUGCGUAGAGAUCUGGAGGAAUACCGGUGGCGAAGGCGGCCCCCUGGACAAAGACUGACGCUCAGGUGCGAAAGCGUGGGGAGCAAACAGGAUUAGAUACCCUGGUAGUCCACGCCGUAAACGAUGUCGAUUUGGAGGUUGUGCCCUUGAGGCGUGGCUUCCGGAGCUAACGCGUUAAAUCGACCGCCUGGGGAGUACGGCCGCAAGGUUAAAACUCAAAUGAAUUGACGGGGGCCCGCACAAGCGGUGGAGCAUGUGGUUUAAUUCGAUGCAACGCGAAGAACCUUACCUGGUCUUGACAUCCACAGAACUUUCCAGAGAUGGAUUGGUGCCUUCGGGAACUGUGAGACAGGUGCUGCAUGGCUGUCGUCAGCUCGUGUUGUGAAAUGUUGGGUUAAGUCCCGCAACGAGCGCAACCCUUAUCCUUUGUUGCCAGCGGUCCGGCCGGGAACUCAAAGGAGACUGCCAGUGAUAAACUGGAGGAAGGUGGGGAUGACGUCAAGUCAUCAUGGCCCUUACGACCAGGGCUACACACGUGCUACAAUGGCAUAUACAAAGAGAAGCGACCUCGCGAGAGCAAGCGGACCUCAUAAAGUAUGUCGUAGUCCGGAUUGGAGUCUGCAACUCGACUCCAUGAAGUCGGAAUCGCUAGUAAUCGUAGAUCAGAAUGCUACGGUGAAUACGUUCCCGGGCCUUGUACACACCGCCCGUCACACCAUGGGAGUGGGUUGCAAAGAAGUAGGUAGCUUAACCUUCGGGAGGGCGCUUACCACUUUGUGAUUCAUGACUGGGGUGAAGUCGUAACAAGGUAACCGUAGGGGAACCUGCGGUUGGAUCACCU
RNAcentral lists this ribosomal RNA (1527 nucleotides) under Klebsiella pneumoniae. RNAcentral describes it as "bacterial SSU rRNA". It matches the Rfam family "Bacterial small subunit ribosomal RNA". Lineage: Bacteria; Pseudomonadati; Pseudomonadota; Gammaproteobacteria; Enterobacterales; Enterobacteriaceae. The record is from RNAcentral.